Molecule: ribosomal RNA, 1458 nt
Filed under: Lactiplantibacillus plantarum
Lineage: Bacteria; Bacillati; Bacillota; Bacilli; Lactobacillales; Lactobacillaceae
Description: bacterial SSU rRNA
Rfam family: Bacterial small subunit ribosomal RNA
Source: RNAcentral
UACAUGCAAGUCGAACGAACUCUGGUAUUGAUUGGUGCUUGCAUCAUGAUUUACAUUUGAGUGAGUGGCGAACUGGUGAGUAACACGUGGGAAACCUGCCCAGAAGCGGGGGAUAACACCUGGAAACAGAUGCUAAUACCGCAUAACAACUUGGACCGCAUGGUCCGAGUUUGAAAGAUGGCUUCGGCUAUCACUUUUGGAUGGUCCCGCGGCGUAUUAGCUAGAUGGUGGGGUAACGGCUCACCAUGGCAAUGAUACGUAGCCGACCUGAGAGGGUAAUCGGCCACAUUGGGACUGAGACACGGCCCAAACUCCUACGGGAGGCAGCAGUAGGGAAUCUUCCACAAUGGACGAAAGUCUGAUGGAGCAACGCCGCGUGAGUGAAGAAGGGUUUCGGCUCGUAAAACUCUGUUGUUAAAGAAGAACAUAUCUGAGAGUAACUGUUCAGGUAUUGACGGUAUUUAACCAGAAAGCCACGGCUAACUACGUGCCAGCAGCCGCGGUAAUACGUAGGUGGCAAGCGUUGUCCGGAUUUAUUGGGCGUAAAGCGAGCGCAGGCGGUUUUUUAAGUCUGAUGUGAAAGCCUUCGGCUCAACCGAAGAAGUGCAUCGGAAACUGGGAAACUUGAGUGCAGAAGAGGACAGUGGAACUCCAUGUGUAGCGGUGAAAUGCGUAGAUAUAUGGAAGAACACCAGUGGCGAAGGCGGCUGUCUGGUCUGUAACUGACGCUGAGGCUCGAAAGUAUGGGUAGCAAACAGGAUUAGAUACCCUGGUAGUCCAUACCGUAAACGAUGAAUGCUAAGUGUUGGAGGGUUUCCGCCCUUUCAGUGCUGCAGCUAACGCAUUAAGCAUUCCGCCUGGGGAGUACGGCCGCAAGGCUGAAACUCAAAGGAAUUGACGGGGGCCCGCACAAGCGGUGGAGCAUGUGGUUUAAUUCGAAGCUACGCGAAGAACCUUACCAGGUCUUGACAUACUAUGCAAAUCUAAGAGAUUAGACGUUCCCUUCGGGGACAUGGAUACAGGUGGUGCAUGGUUGUCGUCAGCUCGUGUCGUGAGAUGUUGGGUUAAGUCCCGCAACGAGCGCAACCCUUAUUAUCAGUUGCCAGCAUUAAGUUGGGCACUCUGGUGAGACUGCCGGUGACAAACCGGAGGAAGGUGGGGAUGACGUCAAAUCAUCAUGCCCCUUAUGACCUGGGCUACACACGUGCUACAAUGGAUGGUACAACGAGUUGCGAACUCGCGAGAGUAAGCUAAUCUCUUAAAGCCAUUCUCAGUUCGGAUUGUAGGCUGCAACUCGCCUACAUGAAGUCGGAAUCGCUAGUAAUCGCGGAUCAGCAUGCCGCGGUGAAUACGUUCCCGGGCCUUGUACACACCGCCCGUCACACCAUGAGAGUUUGUAACACCCAAAGUCGGUGGGGUAACCUUUUAGGAACCAGCCGCCUAAGGUGGGACAGAUGA